RNAcentral lists this transfer RNA (91 nucleotides) under Felis catus (domestic cat). It matches the Rfam family "tRNA". From Rfam's summary of the family: Transfer RNA (tRNA) molecules are approximately 80 nucleotides in length. Their secondary structure includes four short double-helical elements and three loops (D, anti-codon, and T loops). The record is from Rfam by way of RNAcentral. Lineage: Eukaryota; Metazoa; Chordata; Mammalia; Carnivora; Felidae.
GCCUGAGUGGCUCAGUCGGUUAAGCAUCUGACUCUUGAUAUUGGCUCAGGUCAUGAUGUCACAGUUGUGGGAUCGAACCCCAUGUCAGGCU